This 459-nucleotide ribosomal RNA is filed under the name uncultured bacterium. Its description in RNAcentral is "bacterial SSU rRNA". It matches the Rfam family "Bacterial small subunit ribosomal RNA", at positions 355 to 804 of the family's 1533-position model. The record is from RNAcentral.
UAGGGAAUCUUCGGCAAUGGACGAAAGUCUGACCGAGCAACGCCGCGUGAGUGAAGAAGGUUUUCGGAUCGUAAAACUCUGUUGGUAGAGAAGAACGUUGGUGAGAGUGGAAAGCUCAUCAAGUGACGGUAACUACCCAGAAAGGGACGGCUAACUACGUGCCAGCAGCCGCGGUAAUACGUAGGUCCCGAGCGUUGUCCGGAUUUAUUGGGCGUAAAGCGAGCGCAGGUGGUUUAUUAAGUCUGGUGUAAAAGGCAGUGGCUCAACCAUUGUAUGCAUUGGAAACUGGUAGACUUGAGUGCAGGAGAGGAGAGUGGAAUUCCAUGUGUAGCGGUGAAAUGCGUAGAUAUAUGGAGGAACACCGGUGGCGAAAGCGGCUCUCUGGCCUGUAACUGACACUGAGGCUCGAAAGCGUGGGGAGCAAACAGGAUUAGAUACCCCCGUAGUCCCUGAGCGGGC